Molecule: long non-coding RNA, 2344 nt
Organism: Nylanderia fulva
Lineage: Eukaryota; Metazoa; Arthropoda; Insecta; Hymenoptera; Formicidae
Source: RefSeq, a predicted model, not a curated record
UCGCUCCACGCCGUUAUCAUUUUCCGUUCCAUUUCCUCGGCGAUAUCUUGCGCGAUCAAGACGAAUUAAAAGUGGUGACUAAUGUGAUGUGAUGUGUCGUAUGUCGUUAGGCGAUGUGUAAAUCUCUCCCUCGGCUAAAUCAAUGAAAACAGGGAAAGCGAUAAAUCGGGUCAUUGGUCGGAUUAAUUGCAGGUUGCUCCGGGAAUGUGUUCGCAAUUAACUAUAAAUGGAGAAAAAUGGUUGCGUUUGUUCGUCCGUAAAGUGCAUUUCCGUUGGGCGCUAAUAUCCAGGUACUCAAGAUAUACCUGGGCACCACGUACUGUGGAUUUAAUGUUGCGUGUGAGCAUCGCCUCGAUUCGCAGGAUAAGUCUAGAGUAAGAUACAUCGUGUGCCUCUAAUAAUAACUCUACUCUGCGUAAAAGCGAGUCUUAAGAGAAAAUCGAAGUGUGUAAGAGAGGCAGGAGAUCCCGUGUGUAUAGCAUUAGAAUCUUGUGAAAGAGCUUAACUUAAUUUCGAAAAUUUCAAAGUACGAAGGAAAGAUUAACAUAAAGAGAGAGAGAAAAAGAGAUAACGUUUACGGAAAAAUUUAUCUGUCGAAAGAAAGAAAGAAAGAUCGGCACGUUCUCUACGCAUUUAUUUAUGCAUGGAUGACUUUAAACGUGAAUGAAUGUAAUUGUAACCGCAAUGUAAAUCGUUCGAAAUAGCGAAUAUUGCGACGUGCGUAUCAUUUUAAAUACGGUUCUCUCUAGGGGCUGUCCACUUAACCCAUUUCCUGUCAAAUUUUUUGUAUUCUUUUUAAUAAUAUUAUAUGUGUUUGCAUAGAAACACGAGUGAAAUUUUACAUGCAAUUUUCAAAGGUAAAAAAUAAAAAUAGAUCCUUUAUUUAAUUUUGAAAUAAUUCCAUUUAGGUACACGGAUUUGUAAUUUUAUUGCAAAUCGUCAAUUGCUGUUAAUAAAUAAAUCCCCAAGUAGAAAUCAGAAGAGAAUGGAUCAAACGAUUUAAAAAAUCACAUUUUUACGAUUGUUUUCAAUUCGCCUUGUUACGUGUGUAAAUAUAUACGUGUACCUUGACCGCUCACUUAUUGCGAAACAGGUCUUUACGAAAUGCAAGGUCUUUCAUCGUCCAGAUACGAAAGUCUAAAAGACACCUAAAAAGAAAUACGAAGACAUCUUUAAGACGUAUUUUUACGACGCAGUUAUAUCCGAAUUAAUAGUGAAACAAUAAACAAUGGAGAGGCAGUUAUUACGUCAAUUGCCGUAAAUCUUUUAAUCACGUGGAAGCCAUGAAAAGUCCGUGUUUUUAUGAACAUUUAACUAAUGUUAACGAUGCAGAUCACGCGAGAGAAAAAUUAUGUUUCUCCAUCGCUUUCUUUCUUUCACACGAAAUAAGAGGAAUGUUGUUAUUCUGAGAAGCCACUGAAAUUGAAUAUUUAUAAUCUGUGAAUUAAUCGUCGUAUCAACACCGCGUAGGUCUGGAUGUGCCGAGAUAAAGCAUCAGUAAAUAACUGUAAAACGGCGUUUACACACAAGCCUAUCCAAUUAAGGAUCACGAUGAUCCGCGGAGCACGAAAGCGAAAGUAUUUAAGCAAAGCGUGACGAAACGAAGCGUCUCAUCUAGUCACUUUACGGAUUUUAAAUGGUUUCGAACCAACACAUCGCAGAUGAUCGACUAUGAUAUCGUAGAAACAGAUACCUCCUUCCUUUGUGUUUACAAAAAAAAUAUGCGAAAUAAGAACCCACCAGUUGUUCGUCAACGGAUUACCAUUCCCACCAGCUGAUACUCUACAAUUAAGGACUAAUGUGUUGCGAUCUAAAAUGAAGAUAAAAGGAAAAACAUGUUAGACUCGGGUCAAGCGUGACGAAGCAAGACGUCUCAUCUAGCCACUUUACGGAUUUUAAACAUCUUGAAACCAACACAUUGCAGAUUGAUCGACUAUGAUAGAAAUAACAGAAGGACCCACCAAUUGUUCGGCAACGGAUCACCAACUGGUCGAACUGAUACUCGACUAUAAUUGAUGAGGACCAAUGUGUUGCAAUCUAAAAUGAAGAUAAAACGAAAAAUACGUUAGACUUGGGUCAAGCAUGACGAGAUGUCUCAUCUACUUUAAGAAUAUUAUACGCCUCGGAACCAACAUAUCGCAGAUUGAUCGAUUAUGAUAUCGUAGAAACAGAUAUUCCUCUUCCUUUGCGUUUUUGAAAUUACAAAAAAAACAUGCGAAAUAAGGACCCACUGAUUGUUCGUCAACGGAUCACCAUUCCCUCCAGCUGGUCGAACUGAUGAUACCCGACAAUUGACGUGGAUCAAUGUGUUGCAAUCUAAAAUAAAGACAAAAGAAAAAACAUA